RNAcentral lists this ribosomal RNA (497 nucleotides) under uncultured bacterium. Its description in RNAcentral is "partial 16S ribosomal RNA". It matches the Rfam family "Bacterial small subunit ribosomal RNA", at positions 28 to 507 of the family's 1533-position model. The record is from RNAcentral.
GAUGAACGCUGGCGGCGUGCCUAAUACAUGCAAGUCGAGCGAACAGACGAGGAGCUUGCUCCUCUGACGUUAGCGGCGGACGGGUGAGUAACACGUGGAUAACCUACCUAUAAGACUGGGAUAACUUCGGGAAACCGGAGCUAAUACCGGAUAAUAUAUUGAACCGCAUGGUUCAAUAGUGAAAGACGGUUUUGCUGUCACUUAUAGAUGGAUCCUCGCCGCAUUAGCUAGUUGGUAAGGUAACGGCUUACCAAGGCAACGAUGCGUAGCCGACCUGAGAGGGUGAUCGGCCACCCUGGAACUGAGACACGGUCCAGACUCCUACGGGAGGCAGCAGUAGGGAAUCUUCCGCAAUGGGCGAAAGCCUGACGGAGCAACGCCGCGUGAGUGAUGAAGGUCUUCGGAUCGUAAAACUCUGUUAUUAGGGAAGAACAAAUGUGUAAGUAACUAUGCACGUCUUGACGGUACCUAAUCAGAAAGCCACGGCUAACUACGUG